Molecule: ribosomal RNA, 253 nt
Filed under: uncultured bacterium
Lineage: Bacteria
Description: partial 16S ribosomal RNA
Rfam family: Bacterial small subunit ribosomal RNA
Source: RNAcentral
UACGAAGGGGGCUAGCGUUGUUCGGAAUUACUGGGCGUAAAGCGCACGUAGGCGGCGCAGCAAGUUGGGGGUGAAAUCCCGAGGCUCAACCUCGGAAUUGCCUUCAAAACUGCUGUGCUCGAGUUCGGAAGAGGUGAGUGGAAUUCCCAGUGUAGAGGUGAAAUUCGUAGAGAUUGGGAAGAACACCAGUGGCGAAGGCGGCUCACUGGUCCGGUACUGACGCUGAGGUGCGAAAGCGUGGGGAGCAAACAGG